ACACCACCAAAAAUAGAAAGUGACUGAUUUUGUACUUUGAAGGAAAAUGUUUGGUAUGUUGAAGUGUACCCAAUUAAAGAAGAGAUUAUGUUGAAGAUUUUUCUUUUAAUGUGUCCAGUAGUGUUCAAGCAACAUGUCUAAAGUGCAUGUUUGGUACGUAGUCCUACUCAUGCAAAAUGUCUUGUGUGGGAGCACAACAGAAUCACUAGGAUUGGUUAAGUUAUUAUCCGAACCCACUCAUCCAUCUGUACGCAUUAAUUCUGAGUCAUCAAUUAUGAAGCAUAAUGGAAAGUGAUUUUCAGAAAAGUUUUGCUAAACUUUUAUUACAAUUAAAACUCAAAACUUGGAGUUACCAGUCAUAUCUUUGAAACUUGAUCAGAAAUGCAGCUUCCACCAAAGCUCAAAUAUCUCAAGUGUCCAUCUAGUGAACUCUGUCAAUUUUUCAGUGCUGUCUUUGGAAAAAAGGAAAACCAUAACCCACUCUGGGGUCAGGUCCUCCACUAUGUGUGUGCUGGCAUAUCUAACCUUCAUGAUAUAACUUGCACCAAAAAAUACCCCCAGAUUUACACAAAUGCUUUUCAAAAACGUCCAUCAGGUUAGCACAAAUUCUUUAUAACAACCCCCCACUCCAGGUAAGAAGAAGAGAAAGGAUUCAACACUUUGCGAAAGACUGCAGCAAACUAAGGCAAUUCCAUAUGACCAUUAUGAAAAUGUAAAGCAAUCCCAUAUUAGCAAGACAAGGCACAUGAUACUAUUGCAAUUUUUUUUACAAUUCCUUCCAUACCUUCACUAAGGUAUUCAAUCUUAAAAUCCC
This 814-nucleotide long non-coding RNA is filed under the name Olea europaea (common olive). RNAcentral's name for it is "long non-coding RNA (OEUR_LNC014689)". The record is from RNAcentral. Lineage: Eukaryota; Viridiplantae; Streptophyta; Magnoliopsida; Lamiales; Oleaceae.